Gopherus evgoodei (Goodes thornscrub tortoise) is the source of this 228-nucleotide long non-coding RNA. RefSeq lists it as uncharacterized. The record is from RefSeq and is a predicted model, not a curated record. NCBI's taxonomy places the organism in Eukaryota, Metazoa, Chordata, Testudines, Testudinidae. The transcript has 3 exons.
GCCUGCCUCACCUCACCUCAGCCGGGGGGAAAGAGUCACACAGAGGCUUCAGUUCCUCCUGCUGGGGCUGCUCCAUUCUCAGUUGCAGAGACACAGUCAGGAAGAUGUCAGAAGCUUUCAGUGAGGAGGGAUCAGAAGAGGCAGGGUUCUCUGCAGCCAUAACUCUUCUGUGGAGAGCUGGACCCAGCCCUGUGGGACAGGAGCUGCCACUGGCGCUGAGUGUGGUGA